AGUACUUCAUCCAUUAUGAAGUUCCAUUUGUUAAAAUGGCUUAUUUUCACUUUGGUUUAUAACCUAAGUGAACGCACGCUUCCAGAGUCCCACUCUGAUGUUCCUUUCUUAAAGCAAUAAUACUCUAUCAGUUGUUUUGGUUCUGAUCCUGGGAUAUAGUAAUAUCUUAAAGUGACAACCCCUAUGGUUCUUCACUUUUGGAUAUCUACUCACAAGUCCAUACAUGUGUUCCUUUUGUGAUUUUGUGACACAUUCAUUAUAAGGGUUACGAAAGUGAUUUUCUAUCAUAUAGGAAAAUGCUUUCUUAAAUCUUCAACAUUUGAGAUUUAAUUUCCCCAAAUAACAUCCUUGAGAUAGCCUUGCUAUAUCAAUAAGUCCAAUUUCAAGUCUAUACUUCAAAAUUGACCGUGUCAUGUUUUGUCAAUUUUCGAGUAACAUCUACGUUCUAUCAAGUCUAUCAAAUAAACUUUAUUCAUAUCUUGUUGCUCAAAUUAUGACAUCACUCCCACUGACCUUGUUGUAACUUAGCAUUCAUUCAAAAACUUAACAAUUUAUAUUUUCUUGAUUUGAAUGCAUAUUGCUCCCACUAACUUGUCUUGGAUCUAUUGACAAUCAUUAAGAUCCAUUAGCUUAUUGAUGAUGUCUCAACUAUUUUGAGACUAUCAACAACUCUAGCUAACACAAGUUAUUUAAACGAAUCAUACACAAAAGAAUUCCUUCUUAAGUAAUUCCUUUUGAAAUGUGUGACUUGCUUUGUCAAGUCUAUUCAUUUAAAUUAUAUGGUGUCAUACACCAUACUACAAGUUUUAGUCAUACAAAGACCUUUAAUGUAGUCAUAUAAGAAUUAUCCAAGUCUUUAGUGGAAGCAUGGCUCCUACUAAGGAUAUAGAAACUCAACCAUUCCUUCUAGGUGGUUGAUAUAAUUCUUUAUCAAAACUACAUAGAGCGUUAUAGUUACAUAAGAUGUUGAAUUUGGAUUGUCUUGUUGUUAAACUAUAUGUUGUGACUCAUUUUGAAACUAUUCCCUUUUGUUUCAUCAAAUUUGUCAAUGAGCUUUGUCAGUGGCAAAGCCAGGAAUUGACGGGGGGAGGCGCGAAGUCAGGUAGUGAAAGGGGGACACGCGGUCCCCCCAAUAUAUAUAUAUAUUUAUUUAUUUAUAUUUUUUUUCGAAACAUACGAAACGGCGCCGUUUCAAUUAUUAUUUUUAUUUAUUUUUUUUGCCAAGACCAAAACGACGUCGUUUUGGCCUGGAUGAUUUAAAAAAAAACGCAGUAUGCUGUUGCGCGCAACAGAACCUACACAUCACCAGACCACAGGGAGCUCUGAACCCAGUGGCGGAUCCAGGAUUGUAAGAUUGGGUGGUCCAAAUCUAAAGUUCCAAAAAUUAUUAGACGAAAAAUAAUAUUCAAAAAUUAAACAAUAAACAACUUUUAUUCACAAUCUUCUUACAAACAACAUUACAAAUUACAAAGACUAAAUAUGUCCCCAACGAGAUUUCAUACUAAAAAAUAUGUCAUGAUAGAUUUAUUGUCAACUAGAGCAAAAACAUCCGUAUAUGAUUGAAACCAUCCAAUAUUGAAAUUCAACUAUUUGAUCUGGGUACAUUGGAGAGGAGACUAGUGUUACGCUGGUGGGGUGGGGUGGGGAUAAGGAAUGGUUCUCUAUUUCAAAUUUGAACUGUUUUGUUUUUGUUUUUUCAAAAAAAAAAAAAAAUUGUGAAAACUAUAUAUUAAAGAAGUGCACCAAACGCACCGUUUUACUAAGGGUGUUUUCAAACCCCCUGAGCCCUAUGUAAAACAUAGUCUUCUUCUUCCUUCUUCUAAUUUGCAGAACACCAGAAUUCUGCAGCCCCGCUCCUCUUAUCCUCCACCUUGUGCCCAGACUUGGGUGGUCCUCGACAUCCUUAUAGCAUAUUAUUUGGACUUUCGGGUGGUCCCGGGACCGCCCAGGUCCCUUAAUAGAUCCUCCCCUGAACCAGUGGGUUUUCCGGCGAGGGGAGGGGCGGACCCAGAAAUCCAGUCCUAUUUUUCGGCGAGGGGAGUGGCGGCCGCCACUCCUCGCCCUCACGUGGCUUCGCCACUGAGCUUUGUUAUUAGCUU
Molecule: long non-coding RNA, 2099 nt
Filed under: Malus domestica (apple)
Lineage: Eukaryota; Viridiplantae; Streptophyta; Magnoliopsida; Rosales; Rosaceae
Description: long non-coding RNA (MDOM_LNC017586)
Source: RNAcentral